Molecule: non-coding RNA, 2685 nt
Organism: Malus domestica (apple)
Lineage: Eukaryota; Viridiplantae; Streptophyta; Magnoliopsida; Rosales; Rosaceae
Source: RefSeq, a predicted model, not a curated record
UUUUCCUCUGCAAUUCUCCCCUGCAACGCCCAACAACACUCACUCAUUCACUCACCCACUCUUUCUCUUCCUCACUCCCUUUUUUAUCUUCUCAACGCAACAAACCAACAUAACAUCAUCAUCACAAAAAUCCCAAAAUCCAAAGCCAAACCAAAAAGUUGCAGGUUGGACUCGAGAGGGAAUUACCAUGGUAUUCACCUCCAAUCCCUUAUCUCUCAGCGUCCCCGACCCUUUCUUUGAGUCAUGGCUCCACGACAACGGCUACCCAGAAAUCAUCGACCAGCACACCUCCACCGCCAUCACCACUUCCUCCGCCACCACCGUUGACACAAACUCGAUCACAAACGGCUUCUUCAUCUUACUCUUCUCUCGCAUUUUCACCAUUCUCUCUCUCUUCACCAUUAACCCCUUCUCCAAGCUCACCAACGACGACUUUGCUGCCCACACACCGCCGUGGACCACAACCUUUAUUGGGUCCUCUGAAUCCUACUUUUUCCCUGUCUAUCCCUCUGUCUGUUCGUGCUCUUCUUUGCUUGUUCUUUGUAUGCUCUCUCCCUCUCUCUCCCUCUCCCUCUCCCUCUCUGUGUGUAUGUAUAUGUAUGUAUUUUAAUUAUUGGGUGAGUUUUUAACUCAUGAGACUUGGAGCAGGAAAUCGAAAGGUCGAGAGCAGAGCUAAAUCAGUGGGGAUGAUUACGUCGGACUAACGAUGGUCAGAUCUGUUGUGAAUGGGGAUAGGUGUGGGUUAACAGCGAAUCAGACGGAUGAGAGAGGUCGGAUGAGGGACUGGGUGUAGAGAAAGUAGGAGGGUGAUGGGUGUGUAGGUGGGGAAGGGGAUCUAGGUGUGGGCUUGGUUUUUUUUUGUUUCUUCAGUGGGGUGGUGAAGAUGAAGGAAGCGAGGCGACGAUGGGGUGGUGAAGGAUGGAGGAAGGUUGGGGGACGGGGCAGGGUUUGGUGGUUAAGGGAAGGCCGGAUCCCUAGGUCUUUAUUUUUUAAUAUUUAAUUUUUUUAAUCCAGUUAGUGGACUCCGUCUCUAGCCACGUCAGCAGUUAAUAGAGAAAUUAACAGAAAAACUGACGGAGGUAUGACAUUGGCACAAAUUCGUAAGAUGUCGUAUAACAUUGUCACUUUUAAAAGAUGGGGUAUGAUAAUGUCGUUCGACCCAUGUCAGCAAUUAAAGAUUACAUUUAUAACUAUCAGUCACAUUGUAUAACGUGCGACGGUUUGGCCGAGUGGUCUAAGGCGCCAGAUUUAGGCUCUGGUCCGAAAGGGCGUGGGUUCAAAUCCCACAGCCGUCAGAUUUUUUUUAUUUUUAUCCUCUUUUGCUUUAACAACUCUAUCGAAAAAAGGAUUGUAAUGAGUCCCGCUGUGCCAAAAAUUUUCUGCCCACUCUUUGCCUGCAUUUUGGUGAGGACUAGGGGCUGGGCAUAAAAACUGCAUCGGUAUGAAAAAAAAAUUGAAAAAAAACCGUGAUAGCUCAGACACUUCGUGCUCCAUGACAGCUCAUACAGUUCUUUGGUAUUUUCUCUAUCUAUUCUCAUAUUUGAGAUUAGGAAUAUGGUUGAGUUCCACUGGAAGUGUGAAUCUGAUCAAACUUCCAUUGAUAUAUGAUCUAAAAGCAUUGUUAAAAUCUUUUGACAUAAUGUUAAGGAAGUAUGCAGUUUAAGCUAAUUCAAUGGUACAAGAGUCUGAUAUAAGGAAGCACUUAAUCUUUACAAAUUUUGGUCUUAGAAAUUUUAAUAUUUUUAAUUAGAAAAUUUUGGUCUUUUUCCUUAUUCUCGGGGAUUCAGGAAGGGGUGGUGGUGAUGCUUCCAGCACUGGGACUACUCAAAGGUUAGUUGAUCUUGUACGUUAAUUCUAUUUUUACUCAUUGUGUAUAGUUGCUUAUCCCAUUUUGUAUUUUGUAUUUCUAUUUAUUUGGUUCUCAGAUGGGCUUCAUUUGAGCACACUAUCCGUUAUUUUGUAUCUCAGAUGGGCUUCAUUUUGUAUUUUUACUCGUUGUGUUAUCUCUCUUUUUCAUGGUUUUUCUAGUGAAAUAAAAUGAGUAUUGGAGAAUGAUUUUUGGUUUUUAUUUGGUUUUAUUUGAUUUGUUUUUAAAUCUACCAUGCUCCUUCUUGGCGUUCAACUUAAAUAAACCUCCUGACAAGCUUGACUGUUUAUUGAUUCUCUUAAUUUAAUUGGUAUCUUUGGAUUGGGGAUAUAUUCUUUUCACCGAGUAAUGUGACAUACUGAAUAACUUUUCAGAGAAGGGUUGAUGUCAUACAAACAAUUUAUUCAGCAACCUUCCUGUUUAGAGUAAUUAUUCCUCAAUUGCUUUGCAGAGGAGUUGCUGCUUGCUCUCUGUCUGAAAUAAACCUGCAGUUUGCUUCUUCAUUUUUUUGUUUGUUGACCACCGACCAAUAUACUUGGUCAAGAUUGGUUACAAGGCAAAUGAAAAAAGCAAAGAAAUUUUGGUAUUGGACAAGCAUUUUGAUACCACAAAGAUAAUAUGUCUACCGACUUUUGUUGCAUUGUCCAAUCAAUUAUGUGCCAAGAGACUCAUGACACAUAUGGCCAAGUUUGCUGACCAAUGUAUAUUUCUUUUAGUUGUCUCUUUUUGUUGACUUGUUGCCACUACCAAAGAUGUAACUUUAUAUAAUCAGUUUUAGAAGAUAUAUUUGAAUGCAAGAUGAUUUGGUGUUCAAAUAA